RNAcentral lists this ribosomal RNA (459 nucleotides) under uncultured bacterium. RNAcentral describes it as "partial 16S ribosomal RNA". It matches the Rfam family "Bacterial small subunit ribosomal RNA", at positions 338 to 795 of the family's 1533-position model. The record is from RNAcentral.
CCUACGGGAGGCUGCAGUGAGGAAUAUUGGUCAAUGGGCGGAAGCCUGAACCAGCCAAGUAGCGUGCGGGAUGAAGGCCCUACGGGUCGUAAACCGCUUUUGCACGGGGAUAACACCCUCCACUUGUGGAGGUCUGCAGGUACCGUGCGAAUAAGGGCCGGCUAAUUCCGUGCCAGCAGCCGCGGUAAUACUGAAGGCCCGAGCGUUAUCCGGAUUCAUUGGGCUUAAAGGGAGCGUAGGCGGGCGUUCAAGUCAGCUGUAAAAUCGCGCGGCUCAACCGCGCCCCGCAGUUGAAACUGGACGCAUUGAGUUCACAACAGGCAGGCGGAAUUCGUGGUGUAGCGGUGAAAUGCAUAGAUAUCACGAGGAACCCCGAUUGCGAAGGCAGCCUGCCGGGGUGCGACUGACGCUGAGGCUCGAAGGUGCGGGUAUCAAACAGGAUUAGAUACCCUGGUAGUC